GAGUUUGAUCCUGGCUCAGGAUAAACGCUGGCGGCGUGCAUGAGACAUGCAAGUCGAACGGGCGAUCGAGGCUUGCCUUGACCGUUAGUGGCGGGACGGCUGAGUAACGCGUAGGUGACCUGCCCCGAAGUGGGGAAUAACUGCCCGAAAGGGUGGCUAAUACCGCAUGUGGUGGUGUGUUCAUUCACACCAGUAAAGCCGCAAGGCGCUUCGGGAGGGGCCUGCGUCCGAUUAGCUCGUUGGUGGGGUAACGGCUCACCAAGGCGACGAUCGGUAGGUGGUCUGAGAGGACGAUCACCCAGACUGGGACUGAGACACGGCCCAGACUCCUACGGGAGGCAGCAGUCGGGAAUUUUGCGCAAUGGACGAAAGUCUGACGCAGCAACGCCGCGUGAGGGAUGAAGGCCUUCGGGUUG
RNAcentral lists this ribosomal RNA (416 nucleotides) under uncultured bacterium. RNAcentral describes it as "bacterial SSU rRNA". It matches the Rfam family "Bacterial small subunit ribosomal RNA", at positions 9 to 425 of the family's 1533-position model. The record is from RNAcentral.